CGACCGCGACCCCAGGUCAGGCGGGACUACCCGCUGAGUUUAAGCAU
RNAcentral lists this ribosomal RNA (47 nucleotides) under Veronica chamaedrys. Its description in RNAcentral is "partial 26S ribosomal RNA". The record is from RNAcentral. Lineage: Eukaryota; Viridiplantae; Streptophyta; Magnoliopsida; Lamiales; Plantaginaceae.